Molecule: ribosomal RNA, 292 nt
Filed under: uncultured Alphaproteobacteria bacterium
Lineage: Bacteria; Pseudomonadati; Pseudomonadota; Alphaproteobacteria
Description: partial 16S ribosomal RNA
Source: RNAcentral
GGACUACUGGGGUAUCUAAUCCUGUUUGCUCCCCACGCUUUCGCACCUCAGCGUCAGUAUCAGUCCAGCGAGUCGCCUUCGCCACUGGUGUUCCUCCGAAUAUCUACGAAUUUCACCUCUACACUCGGAAUUCCACUCGCCUCUCCUGAUCUCCAGGCUUGCAGUCUAGAAGGCAGUUCCAGGGUUGAGCCCUGGGAUUUCACCCCCUACUUACAAACCCGCCUACGUGCGCUUUACGCCCAGUAAUUCCGAACAACGCUAGCCCCCUUCGUAUUACCGCGGCUGCUGGCAC